Sander lucioperca (pikeperch) is the source of this 173-nucleotide long non-coding RNA. RefSeq lists it as uncharacterized. The transcript has 2 exons. Lineage: Eukaryota; Metazoa; Chordata; Actinopteri; Perciformes; Percidae. The record is from RefSeq and is a predicted model, not a curated record.
UCUUCCAGACAGUGUCUGUAGUCACCACGUCACCAAACUUCAGGAACUUCAGAUCCAUUUCUCUGGACCUCUUUCUGGGUUGACCAGGACUUUAAAAACACAGGGAGUUAUGUGGAGGAUUUUCCUGAUGGUCAGUCUGCUCUGCUGGAGCGCUGAUGGCAGAGUGACCUGCA